Molecule: long non-coding RNA, 514 nt
Organism: Homo sapiens (human)
Lineage: Eukaryota; Metazoa; Chordata; Mammalia; Primates; Hominidae
Source: Ensembl
AUCAUUCAUGUUGCUCCCCGUGCUGGCUGGAAAGCACGGUUCUCCUCUGCCUUAAAAACAGUGCCCAACAGUGAACUGCCCCUCCGAGGACUUGAAACACAGUUAUGGGUCGCAAGAAGAAGAAGCAGCUGAAGCCGUGGUGCUGGUAUUGUAAUAGAGAUUUUGAUGAUGAGAAGAUCCUUAUUCAGCACCAAAAAGCAAAGCAUUUUAAAUGCCAUAUAUGUCACAAGAAAUUGUAUACAGGACCUGGCUUAGCUAUUCAUUGCAUGCAGGUACAUAAAGAAACAAUAGAUGCCGUACCAAAUGCAAUACCUGGAAGAACAGACAUAGAGUUGGAAAUAUAUGGUAUGGAAGGUAUUCCAGAAAAAGACAUGGAUGAAAGACGACGACUUCUUGAACAGAAAACACAAGAAAGUCAAAAAAAGAAGCAACAAGAUGAUUCUGAUGAAUAUGAUGAUGACGACUCUGCAGCCUCAACUUCAUUUCAGCCACAGCCUGUUCAACCUCAGCAAGG